UUUGGAGCUGUUGGGCCCCACCAUGGUGACCACAACAGGAGGGGUUUUUUUUCCCCUCCUGUGCAUCGAUGUUUCAACAGCAGCCCCUCCUGGGCUCCCCAGGGGCAGCUUUCGCAGAGGGGAGCCAAGAGGAGCCUUGCCAAGUCUGAUCUCCGCUGGAAAGCCGCUGAGGAAGGAGGAUACGAGGCUGCCUUUCUCCUGCUGCUACCUGUUGCUCUGAAGGGAUCCAG
Molecule: long non-coding RNA, 230 nt
Organism: Colius striatus (speckled mousebird)
Lineage: Eukaryota; Metazoa; Chordata; Aves; Coliiformes; Coliidae
Exons: 3
Source: RefSeq, a predicted model, not a curated record